CCACUCAAUCCCUUGAUUAAAUAGCUUCCCCUCUUAAAGCCUUUGAAGUGGAAGCAGCACCUCCGGAUCUUCAGCUGGACACCCUGUUCCCAGCAUGAAAGCCACGACGCUUCUAGGGGCCGGGGCAGCGAGCCCCCACCUGGGAUUCUCGCUCCUGCUUUCCUUCUGGCUAGCCCGCGGCGUGCUGGCCAAGGAGUUGAAGUUUGUGGCGCUGGUAUUUCGGCAUGGAGAUCGAAGCCCCAUUGAAACCUUUCCCAAUGACCCCAUCAAGGAAUCUUCAUGGCCACAAGGAUUUGGCCAACUCACUCAGCUUGGUAUGGAGCAGCAUUAUGAACUUGGAGAGCAUAUAAGGAAAAGAUAUGGAAGAUUCUUGAAUGAGUCCUAUAAUCACGAACAGGUUUAUGUUCGUAGCACAGACGUUGACCGGACUUUGAUGAGUGCUAUGACAAAUCUUGCAGCCCUGUUUCCCCCAGAGGGCCCCAGAAUCUGGAAUCCCAGCCUACUCUGGCAACCCAUCCCAGUGCACACAGUCCCCCUGUCUGAAGAUCGGUUGCUGUACCUGCCUUUCAGAAACUGCCCUCGUUUUCAAGAACUUCAAAGCGAGACUUUGCAAUCGGAGGAAUUCCAGAAGAGGCUGCAACCUUACAAGGAUUUUAUAGAAACUUUGCCAACACUUUCAGGAUUUCAUGGCCAAGACCUUUUUGGAAUAUGGAGUAGAGUCUAUGACCCUCUAUUUUGUGAGAGUGUUCACAAUUUCACUUUACCUUCCUGGGCCACGAAGGAGACCAUGACCAAGUUGAGAGAAUUAUCUGAAUUGUCCCUGCUGUCCCUCUAUGGAAUUCACAAACAGAAGGAGAAAUCUAGGCUCCAGGGUGGUGUCCUGGUCAGUGAAAUCCUCAAUCACAUGAAGAGUGUCACCCAUUCACCGAGCUACAGAAAACUUAUCAUAUAUUCUGCACAUGACACUACUGUGAGUGGCCUACAGAUGGCGCUAGAUGUCUACAAUGGCCGACUUCCUCCCUAUGCUUCUUGCCACUUCAUGGAGCUACACCUUGAUAAUGGUUCUAAAGGUCAUCCUUGCUGUUGCCUUUUGCGUGGUGUCUGGUAUCCUAGUGGUGCUGCUGUUUAUCCUCAUCCGCCAUGGGCCCUGCUGGCAGAGAGACUCCUAUCGCAACAUCUGAACAGAAUGCCAAACAAGAGGGAAACCGGGUGCCACAGCCACACUCCCAAAAGAGCACCCCCAUUCCACAGAGAGUGUGCCUCCAGAUUUUGUCCUGUAGGCAGGAGUUGAGUGACCAGUGGACAGGGAACUCAGCUGUAAUUACCCUGACAAUGACUUCUUUGGGCUCCCCUAAGAAGAACGUCAUUCAUCUCUGAUAAGGAGCUACUGUAAAUUAAUUAGAAAAAGGUCAGCCAUCCAAUAGGAAGCCUGGAAAGGAUACUCCACAGCAAAGAAAAUAUAAGAUGGAACCCUUACUGAAAGUUCUGAAAUGCAGCAGAGCCAUCCAAGAAAUGAAGGACUUUUGUGUGAUUUAGGUUUGGGAGUUGGACCAACAUCAGCAACCCUCCACAAAGCACUUUGAAUGAUUUGGAAGGAUUAAGCAAGAAUCAGUGUAGGGGCCAGCGCUAUGGCGUAGCGGGUAAAGCUGCCACCUGCAGUGUCGCCAUCCCAUAUGGGUGCCAGUUCAAGUCCGGCCGCUCCACUUCCGAUCCAACUCUCUGCUAUGGCCUGGGAAAGCAGUGGAAGAUGGCCUAAGUCCUUGGACCCCUGCACCUGUGUGGGAGACCUGGAAGAAGCUCCUGGUUCCUGGCUUCGGAUCGGUGCAGUUCCAGCCAUUGCACCCAAUUGGGGAGUGAACCAGCGGAUGGAAGACCUCUUUCUCUCUCUGCCUCUCCUUCUCUCUUUGUGUAACUCUGACUUUCAAAUAAAUAAACAAAUAAAUCUUAAAAAAAGAGAAAGAAUCAGUGUAAUGACAAGCUAAUGGAGCCUAAGAGUGUAAAAAUAAUUUCAGAGAAAGAAAGGGAGGGGACUGGACAGGACUAGAUUCACUGGGUUUGGAGAAUAAGCAGCUAACUCAAGAAAGACUCCAAGAUAGAGCAAGGCAAGGCUGUUACUCAGAAGAUCAGGUGAUGAACUGUGAAUGUCAAGCCAGCCAGGGUAAAAAGAGAUGGGAGCACUGUGAAGCUGACACAAAAGGAAAAAAUGGAAACGCAGAGGCAAUCAGAAAUUGUGCGAGAUUAAAUGGGAUUGGGGCAUGAAUGAGCUAGAAGAAUGGAAUGUUGGAUCUGUAACUGGAAGUUUAGACUUUGAUUUCCAAGAUACAUCAAACUUCCAGCGGUAAAGUGUGUCCUAGUCAAUGGGUAACUGGAUAGGGGUGAAAAUUUAGUCAUUGAUGGAUUCUCUACAAGAUCAUUAAACAUUUACAGGAUAAUGGCAGAAACUGGGCAGCAUAGGAGACCGAAAACAUCACUGCUGUUAUCAGAGAGGCCAACAGAUGAUGCAGGAAAGCAGUUGUCAGCAAGUCAGGCUUCCUGGAAGCAAAGCAAGGGUGAGGACCUUGGGCUGUGCAAUGUGCUGGCCAGGAUGUCCAAGCUGGAACUGAACUGCAGAAUUCCAAGUUUCUGGUAGUAGUGAACAGAUCUACUCGUGACAGUUAAUUCAUAAGAUUGUUGUGUCAAUUCAGUGAGAUGACAUAUACAAACCUAGUGCAGAGGUAGCUAGUAUUGUAACUAGUAUAAUUCUCCUGGAGC
Non-coding RNA from Oryctolagus cuniculus (rabbit), 2751 nucleotides. The record is from RefSeq and is a predicted model, not a curated record. NCBI's taxonomy places the organism in Eukaryota, Metazoa, Chordata, Mammalia, Lagomorpha, Leporidae.